UCCGUAGGUGAACCUGCGGAAGGAUCAUUAAUAGUGCCCUCUGAUGCAAAUCAUUGGGUUAGAUCUGCUCUCUUCGCAAGAAGAGGGUUUCCAUACACACCGUGAACUGUGGCUUCGGCCAUCACAAACUGUUAGUAAUGAAUGUAAUAUCAUAACAAAAACAAAACUUUUAACAACGGAUCUCUUGGCUCUCGCAUCGAUGAAGAACGCAGCGAAAUGCGAUAAGUAAUGUGAAUUGCAGAAUUCAGUGAAUCAUCGAAUCUUUGAACGCACCUUGCGCCCUUUGGUAUUCCGAAGGGCAUGCCUGUUUGAGUGUCAUGAAACCUCACCCCACUUGGGUUUUUGCCUGAGCGGUGGUGUAUUGGGUGUUGCCUUGCUAAAGGCUCGCCUUAAAGACAUAAGCACCUUGGAUGUAAUACGUUUCAUCCUUCUGGGUGGCUGAUAACCCCACAUAUUCAUGAUCUGGCCUCAAAUCAGGUAGGGCUACCCGCUGAACUUAAGCAUAUCAAUAAGCGGAGGAAAAGAAACUAACUAGGAUUCCCUUAGUAACGGCGAGUGAACCGGGAUGAGCUCAAAUUUAAAAUCUGGCGUCUUUCAGGCGUCCGAGUUGUAAUCUAUAGAGGCGUUUUCCGCGCCGGACCGCGUCCAAGUCUCUUGGAAUAGAGUAUCAAAGAGGGUGACAAUCCCGUACUUGACGCGACAACCGGUGCUCUGUGAUACGUUCUCAAUGAGUCGAGUUGUUUGGGAAUGCAGCUCUAAAUGGGUGGUAAAUUCCAUCUAAGGCUAAAUAUUGGCGAGAGACCGAUAGCGAACAAGUACCGUGAGGGAAAGAUGAAAAGCACUUCGGAAAGAGAGUUAAACAGCACGUGAAAUUGUUAAAAGGGAAACGCUUGAAGU
This 897-nucleotide small RNA is filed under the name uncultured fungus. Its description in RNAcentral is "eukaryotic LSU rRNA". The stretch from base 464 to 897 matches the Rfam family "Eukaryotic large subunit ribosomal RNA", at positions 1 to 429 of the family's 3401-position model. Lineage: Eukaryota; Fungi. The record is from RNAcentral.